AUUAUGCUGACAUGAGUAACGAUAAAAUAUGUGAAAAACAUAUUCGCCGUAAAUCCAAGGUUUCCUGGGUAAAGGUAAUCUUCCCAGGGUUAGUCGGACCCUAAGGCCAGGCUGAAAGGCGUAGCUGAUGGGAAACGGGUUAAUAAUCCUGUACUUGUGCGAUUGUGCGAAGAAGGGACGCAGGAUGGUAGACAGGCCGGUUUUUGGAAUCCGGUGCAAGUGUGUAGGUAUGCUCCGCAGGCAAAUCCGCGGGGAUGAGCCGAGACACGAGUCCGUGGGCGUAAGCCCUGAAGCUGUUGAGCCACGGCUGCCAAGAAAAGCUUCUAAGUUUAGAUCGCGCGAACCGUACCGCAAACCAACUCAGGUGGAUGGGAUGAAUAAUCCAAGGCGCUCGAGAGAACUCUGGCCAAGGAACUCGGCAAAUUGACCCCGUACCUUCGGAAUAAGGGGUGCUCCCCACGGUGAGACAAAUUCUUGUUCAGCCCCGGGGAGCCGCAGAGAAAUGGUGGUGGCGACUGUUUACUAAAAACAUAGGUCUGUGCGAAGUCCUACAGACGACGUAUACGGACUGACGCCUGCCCGGUGCCGGAAGGUUAAAAGGAGGAGUCAGCGCAAGCGAAGCUCCGAUUUGAAGCCCCGGUAAACGGCGGCCGUAACGAUAACGGUCCUAAGGUAGCGAAAUUCCUAGUCGGGCAAGUUCCGACCUGCACGAAUGGCGUAACGAUCUCCACGCUGUCUCGGCCAGAGACUCGGUGAAAUUGAAGUCGCGGUGAAAAUGCCGUGUACCCGCAGAAAGACGGAAAGACCCUGUGCACCUUUACUAUAGCUUGACAUUGGGUUUUGAACCUGCAUGUGUAGGAUAGGUGGGAGGCUGUGAAAGCUGUACGCCAGUAUGGCCGGAGCCACCCGUGAAAUACCACCCUUGUUUGUUCAGGACCCUAACUCGCAGCUGUAAUCCAGCGCGAAGACAGUGUCUGUGGGUAGUUUGACUGGGGCGGUCGCCUCCUAAAGAGUAACGGAGGCAUGCAAAGGUUCCCUCAGGCUGAUUGGAAACCAGCCGUUGAGUGCAAGCGCAUAAGGGAGCUUGACUGCAAGAGAGACAUCUCGAACAGAUACGAAAGUAGGUGCUAGUGAUCCGGUGGUCCCGAAUGGAAGGGCCAUCGCUCAUUGGAUAAAAGGUACGCCGGGGAUAACAGGCUGAUCGCAUCCAAGAGUUCACAUCGACGAUGCGGUUUGGCACCUCGAUGUCGGCUCAUCACAUCCUGGGGCUGAAGCAGGUCCCAAGGGUACGGCUGUUCGCCGUUUAAAGUGGUACGCGAGCUGGGUUUAAAACGUCGUGAGACAGUUUGGUCCCUAUCUUCUGUGGGCGUAGGAGAAUUGAGAGGGUUUGUCCCUAGUACGAGAGGACCGGGAUGAACGCACCACUGGUGGAUCAGUUGUCGCGACAGCGGCAUAGCUGAGUAGCUAUGUGCGGAAUGGAUAACCGCUGAAAGCAUCUAAGCGGGAAGCCAGCCUCGAGAUAAGUUCUCCCUGUCGCAAGACACUAAAGGGCCGAUGCAGACUACAUCGUUGAUAGGCCGGAGGUGGAAGCGCUGCGAAGCGUGGAGCUGACCGGUACUAAUAGCCCGUGCGCCA
Molecule: ribosomal RNA, 1635 nt
Filed under: metagenome
Description: bacterial LSU rRNA
Rfam family: Bacterial large subunit ribosomal RNA
Source: RNAcentral